GCCCCGUUGGCUCAGUGGUAAGCGUAUCACUAGUAAUGAUAAGAUCACUGGUUCGAUUCCAGUACGGGGCA
This 71-nucleotide transfer RNA is filed under the name Fusarium proliferatum. It matches the Rfam family "tRNA". From Rfam's summary of the family: Transfer RNA (tRNA) molecules are approximately 80 nucleotides in length. Their secondary structure includes four short double-helical elements and three loops (D, anti-codon, and T loops). Lineage: Eukaryota; Fungi; Ascomycota; Sordariomycetes; Hypocreales; Nectriaceae. The record is from RNAcentral.